Molecule: ribosomal RNA, 630 nt
Filed under: uncultured fungus
Lineage: Eukaryota; Fungi
Description: eukaryotic LSU rRNA
Rfam family: Eukaryotic large subunit ribosomal RNA
Source: RNAcentral
CCCGCUGAACUUAAGCAUAUCAAUAAGCGGAGGAAAAGAAACCAACAGGGAUUGCCCCAGUAACGGCGAGUGAAGCGGCAGCAGCUCAAAUUUGAAAUCUGGGGUCCCCCGACCCCCGAGUUGUAAUUUGGAGAGGCGUCUUCGGGGGGGAGCGCCGGCCUAUGUUCCUUGGAACAGGACGUCGCAGAGGGUGAGAAUCCCGUGCCAGGCCGGCUGCCUCCUCCCGUGUGAAGUGCCUUCGACGAGUCGAGUUGUUUGGGAAUGCAGCUCCAAGUGGGUGGUAAAUUUCAUCUAAAGCUAAAUACCGGCGGGAGACCGAUAGCGCACAAGUAGAGUGAUCGAAAGAUGAAAAGCACUUUGAAAAUAGAGUCAAAAAGUACGUGAAAUUGUUGAAAGGGAAGCGCUUGAGACCAGACUCGGGCCCGGGCAAACAUCGAGCCCCUCGGGGCCGUGCAAUUGCCUGGGCCCGGGCCAGCAUCAGUUGGCGUGGCGGGACAAAGGCGCGGGGAAUGUGGCUCCCCUCGGGGAGUGUUAUCAGGCCCGCGCUCAAUGCCGCCGACGCCGACUGAGGACAGCGCCUCGGCCUGGAUGCUGGCUUAAUGGCCUUCAGCGACCCGUCUUGAAACACGG